AAGAGAUUGAAAGAAUCAAGGCAAUAGCUAAGAACCAUGGGUAUAAACCUAAUCUGAUAGAAAAAAUGCUGAAUGAGAUAUCCUCCAUGAAUCGAAUAUCACAAGUCGAAGCAAGUAGCCAAGGGCUCACGGAUAAUAAUGAACAAGAACUAGGACAUCUCGACACUUACGCGGUGAUUCCAGAAGCCAUACGAGACUACACUGUAGUAAAAAACUUAACCAAGAGGGAUAACAAAAAAUAUGCUUAUAAAAGGCCUCCUACAAUAUAUAAUACAUUGAGGAGUGAUAAAGACCCAAAAAAAGACC
RNAcentral lists this long non-coding RNA (306 nucleotides) under Androctonus crassicauda. Lineage: Eukaryota; Metazoa; Arthropoda; Arachnida; Scorpiones; Buthidae. The record is from RNAcentral.